GGUGGGUGUAGCUCAGUGGUAGAGUAUCUGCUUUGCAAGCGGAAGGUGUCAGGUUCAAACCCUGCCAUCUCCA
Podarcis lilfordi (Lilford's wall lizard) is the source of this 73-nucleotide non-coding RNA. The record is from the annotation of a GenBank genome assembly. NCBI's taxonomy places the organism in Eukaryota, Metazoa, Chordata, Lepidosauria, Squamata, Lacertidae.